UAGAGUUUGAUCCUGGUUCCAUCUUACGACGGCGCCCCGCCUAUGACAUGCACCUUGAACGAGCUGCUUCCUCGCUCCCUGAUCAAAGAGUUCACCGGGUGAGUAAUUUCUGGCUAACCCGCCUGGUGGUGGGGGAGAACCUCGGGAAACCGGGGCUAAUACCGCAUUCUGCCUUCGGGUUAAAGGAGCAAUUCGCUUGAAGAGGGGGUCGCGGCUGAUUCGAACUGAGGUGGGGUAACGGCCCUUAGCUCCCAUGAUCGGGUUUGCGACUGAUAGGGCCCACCGCCGUACUGGAACUGAAACCCUGGAAGACUCCUACAUGAAGGACUUGACGGGGAAUUUUGCUUCCUGGGGGAAACCCUGACGCGUUUCACGCCGAGUGGAGGAUGAAACUCCUUGGGACGUAAACAUAAUGCUAGCGCUCCUAUAAUGACUGUACCCGACGAAUAAGCACCCGAUAUGAUCACGGCCAUGGCCCACCUCAUCAGAAGUGGGUGAGCAUUAAUGGAAAUUUCUGCGCCUGUACGCUGCGCAUGCAGCGCAGGUAAGUGAUCUGCGAAAUCCCCGGAUUAACUCACAUGCUGCAGCGCUAGCUCCGGUGCCCGUCAGUGCCUUAGGUUUCAGCAUUUCCACCGUACUCGCCAAAUGCAUUGCUAUCGCGUGAACUGCUGUGGGGAAGGCUGGGUACUGUGACUACACCUGACACUCGUCGUUUAAGGCUAGGAGUAGCAAGCUGACUAGACCUGCUUGGCUCCCCUAGCCCUCAACGCAUCAUUGCUAGUUGUAGUCAGUACGCAGCUUGCUCGCAGCAGCUCACUCCGAAAUCAUCCGUUGCGAGUACCGCGGCAUGCCGAGACCUAUGCGAUUUUCAGGCACGCCGAUUACCCUGGAAGCAUCCGAGUA
Molecule: ribosomal RNA, 903 nt
Filed under: uncultured soil bacterium
Lineage: Bacteria
Description: partial small subunit ribosomal RNA
Rfam family: Bacterial small subunit ribosomal RNA (bases 3-506)
Source: RNAcentral